Molecule: unclassified non-coding RNA, 311 nt
Filed under: uncultured fungus
Lineage: Eukaryota; Fungi
Description: partial contains small subunit ribosomal RNA, internal transcribed spacer 1, and 5.8S ribosomal RNA
Rfam family: Eukaryotic small subunit ribosomal RNA (bases 1-73)
Source: RNAcentral
GCAAACUUGGUCAUUUAGAGGAAGUAAAAGUCGUAACAAGGUUUCCGUAGGUGAACCUGCGGAAGGAUCAUUAACAAUUAUCCAACAUAAUGGAUAAUUUUAUCCAUACCCACCUUGUGUGCAUUACUGAAGUGUUUGUUGGCAGGUUAAAGGCUCUCUCGAAAGGAGAACUGUGGGCUUUGGUGCUCGGCCUGCCAAUUUUAUUUGCUUAAACAUGUCUAAAUACUAUUCGUCUGAAAUAUGUAAUUUAUAUAAUAAAUACAACUUUCAACAACGGAUCUCUUGGCUCUCGCAUCGAUGAAGAACGCAGC